UUCUUUUAUGUGAGGGAUGUAUUAUAAUGUUUUUGCUUGCCUUUUUCAGUAGCAUGUCCUAUGGCAUUCAAAAACACACUCUUUUUGACAUAUGGAACUUCUCCGUGUGCUUAUUUGACAGUAAGCUUUGCGUAGCUUACUGCAUUAAAGUUUAUGGCUAUAAACAGUCUAUGUUGAACGUUGCACUCCAUCUUGUUUAACAGAAUUUUAUGAAGUGUAUUGUAAGAGUAACCUUGGCUAAUUUAGUUCCUACUCUUUUUAGCUAAGCACCUAUGACUAAAGGUAUGUAUUAGAUAGCUCAUAUUACUAUUUAAACAAUACAAGUUGGACCUCUCAGGUCCUCUGUAUUAGAUAGCUCAUAUUGCUAUAUUUAAACAAUACAGAUCCUCUUUAUUUUUUACAAGAAUUACAAUGCUAAAGGGUUGCUCUCUUUAGGUGGAUACAUCAUAUAGUUGUCAAUUGGUGAUUCAUAACAUUUAGCUUGACCUCUCUUUCACAAAAGUCAGAAGUGCCAAAAAUUAGUAUUGGGAACCUUAUUACUUUGUAUCAGUAGGAUUUGGGAAUGGUGAAAUUAGAUGAUGAGAUGAGAUUGAAGGAGAAAUUGGAGAGCAAGGACAAUCCAUUGGGAGUUAAUGCAUUGAAGUGGUGCUAAAGGACUCAGCUUUGUCAUAUUGCUAACAAGAAGAUAAGCAGUGCUUAUGGUCAUAUUGGGUUUGGAGAGAGGAGUUGCAAAUGAUGAAAGAGCUGUAAUUGACAAAGUUGCAAGAAGGGAAUGCUC
Molecule: long non-coding RNA, 778 nt
Organism: Quercus robur (English oak)
Lineage: Eukaryota; Viridiplantae; Streptophyta; Magnoliopsida; Fagales; Fagaceae
Exons: 3
Source: RefSeq, a predicted model, not a curated record